GAACGCACCUUGCGCCCUUUGGCCAUUCCGAAGGGCAUGCCUGUUUGAGUGUCAUGAAACCUCACCCCACUUGGGUUUUUGCCUGAGCGGUGGUGUAUUGGGUGUUGCCUUGCUAAAGGCUCGCCUUAAAGACAUAAGCACCUUGGAUGUAAUACGUUUCAUCCUUCUGGGUGGCUGAUAACCCCACAUAUUCAUGAUCUGGCCUCAAAUCAGGUAGGGCUACCCGCUGAACUUAAG
This 237-nucleotide unclassified non-coding RNA is filed under the name Vishniacozyma victoriae. RNAcentral's name for it is "sequence contains 5.8S rRNA gene". The record is from RNAcentral. Lineage: Eukaryota; Fungi; Basidiomycota; Tremellomycetes; Tremellales; Bulleribasidiaceae.